GAUGAACGCUGGCGGCGUGCCUAAUACAUGCAAAUCGAGCGAACGGACGAGAAGCUUGCUUCUCUGAUGUUAGCGGCGGACGGGUGAGUAACACGUGGAUAACCUACCUAUAAGACUGGGAUAACUUCGGGAAACCGGAGCUAAUACCGGAUAAUAUUUUGAACCGCAUGGUUCAAAAGUGAAAGACGGUCUUGCUGUCACUUAUAGAUGGAUCCGCGCUGCAUUAGCUAGUUGGUAAGGUAACGGCUUACCAAGGCAACGAUGCGUAGCCGACCUGAGAGGGUGAUCGGCCACACUGGAACUGAGACACGGUCCAGACUCCUACGGGAGGCAGCAGUAGGGAAUCUUCCGCAAUGGGCGAAAGCCUGACGGAGCAACGCCGCGUGAGUGAUGAAGGUCUUCGGAUCGUAAAACUCUGUUAUUAGGGAAGAACAUAUGUGUAAGUAACUGUGCACAUCUUGACGGUACCUAAUCAGAAAGCCACGGCUAACUACGUG
This 497-nucleotide ribosomal RNA is filed under the name uncultured bacterium. RNAcentral's name for it is "partial 16S ribosomal RNA". It matches the Rfam family "Bacterial small subunit ribosomal RNA", at positions 28 to 507 of the family's 1533-position model. The record is from RNAcentral.